GUUUGUGUUACUCCGGUAGCAUACAUAUACUAAAAUUGGAACGAUACCAGAGAAGAUUUAGCAUGGCCCCUGCGCACGGAUGACACGCAAAUUCGUGAAGGUUCCUUCUUUUCU
This 114-nucleotide small nuclear RNA is filed under the name Larimichthys crocea (large yellow croaker). Lineage: Eukaryota; Metazoa; Chordata; Actinopteri; Sciaenidae. The record is from RNAcentral.